This 76-nucleotide transfer RNA is filed under the name Pseudescherichia vulneris (CDC Enteric Group 1). RNAcentral describes it as "tRNA-Lys(ttt)". It matches the Rfam family "tRNA". From Rfam's summary of the family: Transfer RNA (tRNA) molecules are approximately 80 nucleotides in length. Their secondary structure includes four short double-helical elements and three loops (D, anti-codon, and T loops). Lineage: Bacteria; Pseudomonadati; Pseudomonadota; Gammaproteobacteria; Enterobacterales; Enterobacteriaceae. The record is from RNAcentral. RNAcentral also lists the same sequence under 15 other names.
GGGUCGUUAGCUCAGUUGGUAGAGCAGUUGACUUUUAAUCAAUUGGUCGCAGGUUCGAGCCCUGCACGACCCACCA